Molecule: ribosomal RNA, 763 nt
Filed under: uncultured bacterium
Lineage: Bacteria
Description: bacterial SSU rRNA
Rfam family: Bacterial small subunit ribosomal RNA
Source: RNAcentral
AGAGUUUGAUCCUGGCUCAGGGUAAACGCUGGCGGCGUGCCUAAAACAUGCAAGUCGAACGCAGAGCUUCGGUUCUGAGUGGCGGACGGCUGAGUAACGCGUGGGUGACCUGACCUCGAGUGGGGAAUAACUGCCCGAAAGGGUGGCUAAGACCGCAUGAGCUCUUCGGACCGAUCCGGAGAGGAAAGCCUGGCGACAGGUGCUGGAGGAGGGGCCCGCGUCCGAUUAGCUGGUUGGUGGGGUAACGGCCUACCAAGGCGACGAUCGGUAGCUGGUCUGAGAGGAUGAUUAGCCAGACUGGGACUGAGAGACGGCCCAGACUCCUACGGGAGGCAGCAGUUAGGAAUUCUGGGCAAUGGGCGAAAGCCUGACCCAGCAACGCCGCGUGGGUGACGACGGCCUUCGGGUUGUAAAGCCCUUUUGGAGGGGAAGAUGAUGACGGUACCCUUCGAAGAAGCACCGGCUAACUACGUGCCAGCAGCCGCGGUAAUACGUAGGGUGCGAGCGUUGCCCGGAUUUAUUGGGCGUAAAGGGCGCGUAGGCGGCCUGGCGCGUCGGCUGUGAAAUCUCCCGGCUCAACUGGGAGGGGACGGCCGAUACGGCUGGGCUUGAGCGAGGUAGGGGAGAGUGGAAUUCCCGGUGUAGUGGUGGAAUGCGUAGAUAUCGGGAGGAACACCAGUGGCGAAGGCGGCUCUCUGGACCUCUGCUGACGCUGAGGCGCGAAAGCGUGGGGAGCGAUCCGGAUUAGAUACCCUAGUAGUCC